RNAcentral lists this microRNA (21 nucleotides) under Arabidopsis lyrata. RNAcentral's name for it is "aly-miR399b-5p". Its record names the gene aly-miR399b-5p. Lineage: Eukaryota; Viridiplantae; Streptophyta; Magnoliopsida; Brassicales; Brassicaceae. The record is from miRBase by way of RNAcentral.
GGGCGCCUCUCCAUUGGCAGG